UACCACUGCCAAGAUGGGAAAUCCUUGC
RNAcentral lists this non-coding RNA (28 nucleotides) under Mus musculus (house mouse). Lineage: Eukaryota; Metazoa; Chordata; Mammalia; Rodentia; Muridae. The record is from RNAcentral.